This 30-nucleotide non-coding RNA is filed under the name Rattus norvegicus (Norway rat). Lineage: Eukaryota; Metazoa; Chordata; Mammalia; Rodentia; Muridae. The record is from RNAcentral.
UCCAAAACCCUGCUUGUUUCCUUCAUGAUU